UGUUCCUUUUUGGACCACUUUGUUCACAUUGGACUUGUUUGUAACUAGUUCAAUACUGUUUAGCCCAAAAAGCUUCUCACUUCUUAUCUGAUUAUUCGACUGUUCAUGAACCUUAUUGGAGAGGGUGGAGUUGCACUGUUCAUUUUUGGACCACUGUGUUCACAUUGUGCUUGUUUGUAGCUGGUUCAAUACGGUUUACCUAAAAGGCUUCUCACUUUUCAUUCGAUUGUUCGACUGUUCGUGAACGGGUUCCAUUACCGUUCCCUAAAUAUCUCCACUAAAAAGUGCAUUUUGCGUUCUCUCUCACUUUGUGCUAUGCUUUUCGAUCUCUCUGCUUUUGGAUCUCGAUUCCAUCGGACUUCAACAUACAAUUUGGGGACGAGGAUGAAGAAGACGAAGACGACGAAGAAAAAGGCUCCGUUGUGACGACUGGUGAAGGAGGAGGAGCUGAAGCUCGAGAUCGAUGACCUCAAGGCCAAGGUCAAUACUUUUUUCCCCUGAAGAGAACCAAAAUUUGCAAAGUGAGAAUGACUUAUUGAUUGCUAUAAAUUUGUUUAGUUUAAUUUUUUUUGUGGUUUUGUCGCACAUGAAGGGGCUGCAGCAAUUUGCCGACGUGGAAGGAGCUUAGAAAUUCAUAAUAAUGCAUCUGCUGAGGUAGCAGUAGACCUGUAUCACAAAUACAAAGUAGUUGGAUUUUAAAUCUUCGUUUAAAAUUUGACCAUGCAUUAACGAAAUUUUACACGAACCAUUUCUGUGAAUAUAUAGCAAGAUGUCGAUCUUAUGGCGGAACUGAACUUGGAUCCUUACUGGUUUUUAAUUUCGUGGUCAAGAAUAUAUACGAGUAAUUGUCGUAACAGAUAUUUUCACUUGACUUAAUUUAUGAAUAAUCAGUAGCACAAGUAACUACAUGUUCUUUACAUGUAGAUGGAACUGGGAAAGUAAAUUGGAAGAGAGUUGCUUAUAUAGUGGGCUGAUCAACUAUAUGCUCAGCUGUGAAAUAGUAUAAGUAUCAUAAGAAAAUCAAUGUGAUUUAAUUGUGUUCUAUUUGUAUAAUAUUGAUUCAAGUUCCACAGGAAAGAUUUUGCUAAUUAUGCAUAAUGUUGUUUCAAAACAUUUGAGGAUAGAGUAAAGAAUUGGCAGACAUUUAAUUAACCUAUAGUGAUAGCUGUACUUGGAUAUGACUACGUGUUCUUUGCACCAGAACGAUGCUCAAAAACAUUUGCAAAUUGCGCUGAA
RNAcentral lists this long non-coding RNA (1236 nucleotides) under Olea europaea subsp. europaea. Lineage: Eukaryota; Viridiplantae; Streptophyta; Magnoliopsida; Lamiales; Oleaceae. The record is from RNAcentral.